RNAcentral lists this ribosomal RNA (460 nucleotides) under uncultured bacterium. Its description in RNAcentral is "partial 16S ribosomal RNA". It matches the Rfam family "Bacterial small subunit ribosomal RNA", at positions 338 to 795 of the family's 1533-position model. The record is from RNAcentral.
CCUACGGGAGGCAGCAGUGGGGAAUAUUGGUCAAUGGGCGUAAGCCUGAACCAGCCAAGUCGCGUGAGGGAUGAAGGUUCUCUGGAUCGUAAGCCUCGUUUAUAAGGGAAUAAAGGGUGGGACGUGUCCUGUUUUGUAUGUACCUUAUGAAUAAGGAUCGGCUAACUCCGUGCCAGCAGCCGCGGUAAUACGGAGUAUCCGAGCGUUAUCCGGAUUUAUGGGGUUUAAGGGGUGCGUAGGCGGCCUUUUAAGUCCGAGGUGAAAGUCUGUGGCUCAACCAUAAAAUUGCCGUUGAAACUGGGGGGCUUGAGUAUGUUUGAGGCAGGCGGAAUGCGUGGUGUAGCGGUGAAAUGCUUAGAUAUCACGCAGAACCCCGAUUGCGAAGGCAGCCUGCCAAGCCAUGACUGACGCUGAUGCACGAAAGCGUGGGGAGCAAACAGGAUUAGAUACCCCGGUAGUC